Vicia villosa (hairy vetch) is the source of this 561-nucleotide long non-coding RNA. RefSeq lists it as uncharacterized. The record is from RefSeq and is a predicted model, not a curated record. The transcript is spliced from 3 exons. Lineage: Eukaryota; Viridiplantae; Streptophyta; Magnoliopsida; Fabales; Fabaceae.
CUCAGUUUUCAAUCUUAAUCAUCUCUCACGAACAAUACACAGCGGCGGCCGGAAAGAAUCUCUCUCCGGACAUACCCUCACCCUCUCUCAUCUCGUUCUCUCUCGAUUAUGUUAUUGUUGUUAUUGCGUUGAUGUUCCUGAUUCUUUUUCGGUGGUGAAGAUUUUUGGAGACGCUUAAAUGGAGAAGAAAAUACCAGAGGCUACUCCGAACAGGGCUGUUCGGUAUAUGCAGUUAGUUUAGAUACCGAGCUUGGUGAGUUUUCCUAUGUUUUGAAGCAUGACUCAGAGGUAGGACCAUGGAAGGCGAGACUCGAAGACAGGCGAGCAAAGUGAAACCGAAGGAGACUUGGUAAAGGAAGAUGAAGAAAAUUUAAUGUGUAUUCUGCACUGUGUAAUUUUGUACCGAAUGUAACAUGGCCCUUUUUUAUGUACAUGGCAAUAAUAGUUGAAAUUUGAAUGAGUGUAUGAUUAUACCAGAAUAUGGAUCUGCAUAUGUUUGUAAUUUCCUUUGUAAUCUCCCCGGCUUGUAUCAUAACUUGUACCAAAUUUGAAUGAAAUAGA